This 4404-nucleotide long non-coding RNA is filed under the name Pelobates cultripes (western spadefoot toad). The record is from RNAcentral. Lineage: Eukaryota; Metazoa; Chordata; Amphibia; Anura; Pelobatidae.
AUGUGUUGGAAGCAGGAAAAAUGGGAAAGCGAAAAGAUCUGAGUGACUUUGACAAAUGCCAAAUAAUGAUGGCUAGACGACUGGGUUGGAGCAUCUCCAAAACGGCAAGUCUUGUUUCCAAUAUGCAGUGGUUAGUACUUAGCAAAAGCGGUGUGAGGUAGGACAACUGGUGAACUGGCGUCAGGAUCGUGGGCGCCCAAGGCUCAUUGAUACACCUGGGGCAGUAAAAGCCAUAAGAUCUGGUCCGAUCAAACAGAAGAGCUACUGUAGCUCAAAUUGCUGAAAAACGUAAUGCUGGCCGUGAUAGAAAGAUGUCAGAACACACAACGCAUCGUAAUUUGCUUUGUCUGUUGCGGCGUAGCCACAGACUGGUCAGAGUGCCCAUGAUGACCAUGGUCUAACUCCAAAAGCGCGGUCAAUGGGGAUGUGAGUGUCAGAACUAAACCAUGGAGCAAUGGAUGAAGGUUGUCUGGUUUGAUGAAUCACAUUUUCUUUUAGAUAAGUUGGAUGGCUGGCUCUGUGUGUGUCGUUUACCUGGGGAAGAGAUGGCAGCAGGAUGCAUUAUAGGAAGAAGGCAGGAUGGUGGAGUAAGUGUUAAACUUUGGGCAAUGUUCUGCUGGGAAACCUUGGGUUCUGGCAUUCAUGUGGACAUUACUUUAAUACGUACACCCUACCUAGAGAUUGUUGCAGAGCACGUACACCCCUUCAUGGUAAUGGUGUUUCCUGUUGGCUGUGGCCUCUCUCAGCAGGAUAAUGCGCCCUGCCACCUUGCAAAAAUUGUUCAGGAAUGGUUUGAGGAACACACCGAGGAGAGGUACUCCCUGUAUCUAUUAUACAGUAUAUCCAUUACCUGUUGUAUCUGUAUUUGGGUUCGGCAGGGAUAACACUCAGAUACUUUGUUGCUUUUCACAUAGUGUCUGGGGAAAUUCCUCUGACCCAUCUUUGCAUUUACAAGUUGUGUGGUUACAUUUGUUUUCUUUGAGAGAUUUACUGUUUCUAUAUUAUCAUAGCAGGUUUAGGUCAUUUUGAUUUUGAUUUUUAUGUUCAUUAUUUUUAUCCAAUUUUAUUGAAUAAAAUAUUGGUUUAUUUGUAUAUUCAUAUUAAUAAUUGUUUAAGGUUUUUUGAUUAACGAGCGCACACGCUUUGUUUAACUUUUGAGCUUAUACUCCGUUACAGUCGCUGGUGGAUGUGUGUAUCUGCUCUUAUAUUUAUUUUUAUGUUUUUAUAUACUACACCUUUAUUAUACUUUUUAUGGUUUGAGGAACAUCACACAGAGUUCAAGGUGUUGACUCGGCCUCCAAAUUCUCCAGAUCUCACCCUAAUUAGGCAUUUGUGGGAUGUGCUGGAACAACAAAUCCAAUCCAUGGAGGUCCCUCUUUGCAACUUGCAGGACUUAAAGUUUCUGAAGCUAAUGUCUUAGUGCCAGAUUCCAUAGGACACGUUCAGAGUGAAAACAUAGCAAAGCUAUUAAAGGUGUGAGGACCAUGUUGGUAUACUUGUUACCAGAUAAUAAUUGGGGUUUUCACAUAGAUGGAGAGGCAUGGUCUAUAUAUUAAAGGGGAGCAGGGAGAUUUUGGAAAAUAUUGUACUAAAAUGUAUCCCACAUAUACCAGUCUAUGCGGUGGGAUAUGGGCCACUCAUCCCUGGCUGCAGGCUGGCUUUCGGGCUCUACAGAUUUUUUGUUUGUAUAGGAAUGUAAACCUGGAGUGCAGUGCUAUCACACCAUUAUACACAUAUGCUCUUUGUUAGGCAAGAAGUAUUGUAUGCCCCACCUCACAACUUGCCGAACUUAAGGGACCUGCUGCUAAUGUCUUGCUACCAGAUACCCCAGGAUCAGUUCAAAGGUUUUGUGUAGUCCGUGUCUCGAAGCAUCAGAGCUGUUUUGGAAGGACAAAGGGGGACCUACAUAACUGUAGGCUGGUGGUUUUAUUGUUGUGGCUGGUCAGUAUACAUUUGAUCACAUAUCUAAUAAUAUUUAUUUAUUUAUAAAAUAUUUUACCAGGAAAGAUACAUUGAGAUUUCUCUUGUUUUCAAGUAUGUCCUGGGUCCACAAAAUAUUGCAUUUCAGCAAUGCUUUUAUAAGACAUCCGCAAAAAAAAAAAAAAAAAGUAGAUAUGUUUGACAGCUCAGCCAUUCCCCUGAUGGAUUUUACAGCAAUUGUAUUCCAGAAAGGAUACAUUAUAUAUUUUAUUUUAAUUGUUUUAUGACGUUUACUGAUAUUUGACAGAAGAUGGCGCUAUAUGCACUGCAGGUUUUCUUUUAUUAUCAUUUAUCAUUUUAUGGUUGCAAAGCCAAAAACAAAUUAAGAGUUAGCCUUAUGGGUUGUAUUAUGGCUUGUUGUUGUUAUAUAUUUAUAAAGCAGUGUAAAACGGGAUUUUCCAAUACCAUGAAUAAACAUUACCGGUAUUGAAGGCUUUUUAGUUUACUUCUCUAUAACAAGAAUCAAAUCAAAUCAGCUGCCUUCUUGUUGUAUAUGUUGUAUUUGAUCCUCUGCAGUAUAGAUAUUUCAGUUAUGUUAUGUUUGCAUUGAGUUCCAAGUGAAUGUCUGGCUCAGAGAUGAUCGUUCUGAAAGACUGUUAGAUUGUGUUCGUUCAUUCUUGAUUGAUGGAUUUGCUUUCUCUAAAAGACCAGGGAAGAAGCUGUUGUUCCAGAUUGUUGGUCUGUGUCUGUAAAUUCAGUUAUACUACAAAUAAUGUAACACAUUCUCUAAUAUAAAUAAACCAGUGAUAAGAUGAUAUCACAAUAGCAGAUCUGCCUUCCAAUGGUUAAAUCUUGGAAUGACUACCUUAAUCCUCCUGAUAAGUAUAAUAAUUUCUUAUUUUUAUCAGUGUUGGCAGCUGUGAAAUUACCUGGUAACAUUUGAACUUGAAGUGGUUUCUCUUUAUAUAUAGAUAUCACAAAUUUGUGGCUCCAUUGUUGCCUCCAGAACAAAACAAUGGCCUAAAAACCAGCGAAAAGAUACAGUACUCCUCCUCCUCAUUUCUUUUUUUUAUUAUAAACUAACAGCAGGCAACUUUUCAGCCCAACAAGUGUCUUUUGAACCCGUAAAGGGACACUACUCACUGCAAUUUUAUGUCCGUGCAGAGGCACAUCUGUAGGAGUUAGGUGGUAGCGACCUCCAUAAAUUUUGUUCAGAGAACUUUUUCCUAUAGCAAAUCAAAGAUAACGACAAAGAAAAACUACUUGCACCCACCCAUAAAUGUACUCACUCCUGUGAUGGAGCAAAACAGACUCUGGCUCUGUAACCAACUUACAACUCUGUAGAAAAUAGUCUAGAACUCAACAGUAGGUGAAAUGCAACCAACAUUUAUUGAGGUUCUUACAGAACACAGAACAACAUUUUGACCUAGUGAUAGGUCUUUCUCAACUAAGCUUUAUCUAUAGACGGAAACAUUGUUCUGUUAGCUACGAGGACCUCAAUAAAUUUGUAGUGCAUAUCACCUACUGCUGAGUCAAAAAGAUUUAUUUUUUUAACAUAAUGGCAUGUCAGGCUCAGAAACUACUAAUGCAUCUUGAAUAUUAUUAGAAUAAAUGAUGCCAAAUACUUAAUUACAAUUCUAGGUUUCAUACAGUUAAUGGCAUUUUGAAUUUACAUGAGAUCUUAAAGUUUGUUGACUUCAUAGAUUGAAACAAAAUCAGAUCACAACCAUAAAGCUCUUAAAUGGCCUUCAUUCCACACUGGUGCACGCUGUUGUGUUACACGUGGCUCACUCUCCGUCCUAUACAGAUUGACAUGGCUCAUGGAAUAGCACAGACCUGGGUCUACUCUAAACCAUAGCUGCUAUGACUAGGCUAACAGAAGACUGUAUCAGUGUGGGGCACGUCUAAAACUUGUAAUACACGUUGAAUAUGAGACUUUCCCUGCUCUUUUAGGUCCCCAAAAUGCACUAUCCAUUAUAUACCCUGGAUCCCAGAAAUACUAGGAAGGUAUGUUCUGAUUUAUAAAUGACCUGUAUAAAGAUGUGACCCAUGUAUAGGUCUUUGUUAAGCCUGGUUACUCAUAAGGAAGUGUCACUAUGAACUAAACACAGUCUGAUGUCCAUAUCGGGUACCCUAACUAGGGCCUCAAUUUUAAAAAGCUUUUCCAAAUAAUUCAAUAGUGUCAGAAAAACUUUCCAAAUUACCUGUCUACAGAAGUCACCAUUAAAGGGACACUAUGGGUCCUUUUACCACAACCUCUCAUUGAUGUUAUCUGUGUGCAUUGUAAAACAUUGCAGUUUCAGAUAAACUCUUGAGUUUGUCUCCAUGAAACCAUACUUUGCAUGAGGUCAUUCAGCAUGUUGGAAACCCCCAUAGAAAAGCAUUCAGUCAACAUUUUCCUAUGGGAGAAGGCCUAAUGCUCGAGUGGUGCUUGCUGCACAUGUGAAUUGGCUGAUGACGUCCGGACAUUGGUGCUGAAAUCAG